Molecule: transfer RNA, 84 nt
Filed under: Halohasta litorea
Lineage: Archaea; Methanobacteriati; Methanobacteriota; Halobacteria; Halobacteriales; Haloferacaceae
Also listed under: 3 other names
Description: tRNA-Leu
Rfam family: tRNA
About the family: Transfer RNA (tRNA) molecules are approximately 80 nucleotides in length. Their secondary structure includes four short double-helical elements and three loops (D, anti-codon, and T loops).
Source: RNAcentral
GCGUGGGUAGCCAAGCCAGGAAAAGGCGCAGCGCUUAGGACGCUGUCCCGUAGGGGUCCGAGAGUUCAAAUCUCUUCCCACGCA